AAACAUUAAUCAGGAUGACCCAGCCAAUCUAAUCAUGGCAUAGGGUAUAUAAAAUCUAUAUUCAGAUACAUAUGAUCAACAGAAAUAUCAAACUGUCAUUUUAUCAUCUCUAGAGUAGAUUGACGCGGAAGGAAGACUGUUGGCAACCUACAGAUUCAAGCUUGGAAAAGAUAAACGUUCCGGUUUAACUGCCCGAGUUUCCCUUUUCAACCUUGAACUUUAGAGAUUCCGACCCUGGCACCGAAUAAAAACAGCGGCGGUGGUGCACACCUGUGUAGGUGGCAGGAGGAUUAAAAAGCUCAAGAUAGACCUCUGCGGCAUAACUACCUCGAGAACAAGAAACUGCCUCUAAAUAAAACAAUCAUAAAAUUCUA
Long non-coding RNA from Meriones unguiculatus (Mongolian gerbil), 374 nucleotides. RefSeq lists it as uncharacterized. The record is from RefSeq and is a predicted model, not a curated record. NCBI's taxonomy places the organism in Eukaryota, Metazoa, Chordata, Mammalia, Rodentia, Muridae. The transcript has 2 exons.